Molecule: ribosomal RNA, 490 nt
Filed under: uncultured bacterium
Lineage: Bacteria
Description: partial 16S ribosomal RNA
Rfam family: Bacterial small subunit ribosomal RNA
Source: RNAcentral
GAUGAACGCUAGCGGCAGGCCUAACACAUGCAAGUCGAACGGGAUCCAGAUCAAGGCUUGCUUUGGUCUGGUGAGAGUGGCGCACGGGUGGGUAACGCGUGAGCAACCUACCCUUGUCAGGGGGAUAGCUCGGCGAAAGUCGGAUUAAUACCGCAUGACAUCAUUGAGAGGCCUCUUUCGAUGAUCAAAGAUUUAUCGGGAAGUGACGGGCUCGCGUGACAUUGGCUAGUUGGUAAGGUAACGGCUUACCCAGGCUGCGAUGUCUAGGCGCUCUGAGAGGAGAGUCCCCCACAUUGGUACUGAGACACGGACCAGACGACUACGGCAGGCAGCAGAAAGGAACAUGGGGCAACGGACGGAAGUCUGAACCAGCCAUGCCGAGUGCAGGAAGACCGCGCUAUGGGAUGUAUACUGCUUUUAUACGGGAACAAACGUCGGUACGUGUACCGGACUGAGGGUACCGUAAGAAUAAGGACCGGCUAACUCCGUG